This 869-nucleotide long non-coding RNA is filed under the name Homo sapiens (human). Its description in RNAcentral is "HSALNT0012751". The record is from RNAcentral. Lineage: Eukaryota; Metazoa; Chordata; Mammalia; Primates; Hominidae.
CUUUCUCAGCCUGGAGACUGAAAGCUCUCUUUGGCUGUUGGCCCUCCCAGGCAGAGUCCACUGGCUGUUAGGGUGAAAUGGGGCUGAUGCUUCCUGGAAUCCACCAGAAGUAUGCAAAUUGCACCAUCUCUUUCAGCUGCCUGCGCCUGCAUUCCAUCGAGGAUUCCCAAUGGGAAACCUGAAUAACCAGGCAGUGCCAGGGUCACCACUACUGAAGCUGAGGUUGAUUUAUGACACCUUGACUGACACACCCAGAAUAAUGUUUGAGCAAACAUCCGGGCUCUCCAUGGCUCAGUCAAACUGGCACAUCAUACUCUGAGUGAGAUUGGAAGACACGGAGGCUGAGUGACUUGGGCAAUGAUUCAGCAAUACCAACUGUGAACUCUCAAUGACUUGGGCUAAUGAGAAGAAUGACAUGGAUAAUCUAAAAAUAAUGGACAACUGGAAAAAACAUCAGCCUGCUUGUGGAGCACACCAGGUCAUGAUUUCGGCUCGUCCCCCAGUGGCAACAACUAGAGAGGAGGUGAGGAUCCCCGGCGCUGCCAUCUGAUAGGCUGUCUCCCUAGCUCCUCUUGCACUGGCAAUCCUUUCAUCACACAGGCCUUGUUUUGAAGGGACCUAUUCCACCCACAGUCGUUUCUCACCUCUAGGAGGCCAAAAAGCUGUAGUCAUUGCUGUGGUAUCAGGAACUCGAGUUCCUCUCAGAGGUGUUGUGAAGAGCUUCCCUUCCAACAGUACAUGGCCUAAAUACCAGGGAGGAAGUUUCUGACUUUUUCCAUCUUCAGUAAAACAGAACCUCUGUUGUGGAUGCAGUGGCUUUGCAAGGAGAGUGGCAUUGUCUCUUGGUGAAUGUAGUUGUUCAAGUCAUG